This 424-nucleotide unclassified non-coding RNA is filed under the name fungal sp. Its description in RNAcentral is "partial internal transcribed spacer region". The stretch from base 1 to 46 matches the Rfam family "Eukaryotic small subunit ribosomal RNA", at positions 1786 to 1831 of the family's 1831-position model. The record is from RNAcentral. Lineage: Eukaryota; Fungi.
AAGUCGUAACAAGGUUUCCGUAGGUGAACCUGCGGAAGGAUCAUUAACACUUUUCUUAACUCAUUCACCUUUGCGCAUCGUGAACCCUUUGUGAGGGAUGCUGGCGGACACAUGGUUUAGCGCAUUGCACCGUAUCGGUACCUCGAGUGCCGUACCUGUGCCUUGCGGGUUCGUCUGGCUGCGACAGCGCUGUCUGGUUUGCUUCGGCAUCUGGACUGGCGGUCUGCCGCGGUUCCCACGUUGGGCUAUUCAGCUAUCGACCAUGGCUGGCCUUUUUUUCUUUUUUCACCUGAUUUUUUGUGAUCUUUUGAUUCGAGGGAGUGCACCUAGGUGCGCCUCUUCGUAUCGUAUGUGCGGCGCCUUGCUUUGCGGGGUGCGGCCAUGACAUCGAACACAACUCUUAACAGCGGAUAUCUCGGUUCUC